GUGGCAGCCUGGUGUGGCGGUUCCUCUUUUCAAGAAGGGGGACCGGAGUGUGUAUUCCAACUACAGAGGAAUCACGCUCCUCAGCUUCCCUGGUAAGGUCUAUUCAGGAUUGCUGGAGAGCAGGGUUCGACGGA
Hippocampus comes (tiger tail seahorse) is the source of this 134-nucleotide long non-coding RNA. RefSeq lists it as uncharacterized. The record is from RefSeq and is a predicted model, not a curated record. Lineage: Eukaryota; Metazoa; Chordata; Actinopteri; Syngnathiformes; Syngnathidae. The transcript has 3 exons.